UACGUAGGGUGCGAGCGUUAAUCGGAAUUACUGGGCGUAAAGCGCGCGUAGGCGGCUUUGUAAGUUAGAGGUGAAAGCCCGGAGCUCAACUCCGGAACUGCCUUUAAGACUGCAUCGCUUGAAUCCAGGAGAGGUGAGUGGAAUUCCGAGUGUAGAGGUGAAAUUCGUAGAUAUUCGGAAGAACACCGGUGGCGAAGGCGGCCCGCUGGGCAGGAUGCUGACGCUGAGGCGCGACAGCGUGGGGAGCAAACAGG
RNAcentral lists this ribosomal RNA (254 nucleotides) under uncultured bacterium. RNAcentral describes it as "partial 16S ribosomal RNA". It matches the Rfam family "Bacterial small subunit ribosomal RNA", at positions 524 to 776 of the family's 1533-position model. The record is from RNAcentral.